AUGAACGCUAGCGACAGGCCUAACACAUGCAAGUCGAGGGGCAGCACAAGGAGCAAUCUGAGGUGGCGACCGGCGCACGGGUGAGUAACACGUAUGCAACCUGCCUGUAAGCGGGGAAUAACCCGUUGAAAGACGGACUAAUACCGCAUAAUACUAAAUUACUGCAUGGUAAUUUAUUUAAACAUUUUAUGGCUUACAGAUGGGCAUGCGCAUGAUUGGCUAGUUGGAGAGGUAACGGCUCCCCAAGGCAACGAUCAUUAGGGGUUCUGAGAGGAAGGUCCCCCACACUGGUACUGAGACACGGACCAGACUCCUACGGGAGGCAGCAGUGAGGAAUAUUGGUCAAUGGACGAGAGUCUGAACCAGCCAAGUCGCGUGCAGGAAGAAUGUUCCCUAUGGAUUGUAAACUGCUUUUACAGGGGAAUAAAGUGCAUCACGUGUGAUGUUUUGUAUGUACUCUGCGAAUAAGGAUCGGCUAACUCCGUGCCAGCAGCAGC
Molecule: ribosomal RNA, 497 nt
Filed under: uncultured bacterium
Lineage: Bacteria
Description: bacterial SSU rRNA
Rfam family: Bacterial small subunit ribosomal RNA
Source: RNAcentral